UAUUUCACAGCCUCGUGAAAUUUCAUGAAAUAUAUCCCUGAAAUUUCCAAUUUUUCAUUUCUUUCUUCCGUCUCAUGCUACCCUGGGCCGGGCCACUACUCCAUAGAAAGGGGAAAAAACAAAACAAAUUUUUGGAGGGCACUAUCUGCCAAUGAUCUAUUACGCUGAUAACUUCUAACUGAUAUCGGUAAGGCGGUCAGUCGGUCACCCUAAUUUUACAGUGACCGGUCGGUCAGUGGAUCAAUGAAGUUGCCGCAGAGAAAAUAGUUUCUUUACUUUUCUUGUAGCGCUUUGUUAUGAGCACCGGAAAGUUAGGUGAGUGAUAUUCUGAAAACCCGGGAAAAAUUAUUCACACCUUUCAUCCUUUCAUGAGGAGUUAUGUGAUGGAGGGAUGUCCAAAUACAGCAGUUACAUAGAAAGAGGCACAUUAGCGCCAGACGGACUUGGAGCCUGGGAGAUUCGUUUAGCCCCGUUGCGGGCUGGGGCUGCCCAGGAAAAACCCUCAUGACGAGCCAACGCAUUCUUUCGGGUAGGUAUUAUGUGAUGCAUCGAUUUUCGGAUUGAUGUCAUAAAGACUCCAAAAUUUCUCGCGUUUCUCUCAUAAUGUAAUUGAGGAGUGAUUCCAAUAAAUUUAAAAACAAAUUUAAAAAAAAAAGAAAAAAAAAAAAAACACCCUUGCACUUCGUUUUUGAAUUGCAUUGAAAUUCUGGCACUAUAUUCAAAUAAACUUUCGCAUCAAUUUACUUGAAUAAAUUAGAGCAAUACGGGAACCACUAUUACAGGUUGAUCUAACAGAAAGAACAACUGAGCUAUUGGUUUCCCUGGGCAGAUAGGUGUUUUUUAUGAUGAGCCGCUGCCGUUACCUAGUAUAACUGCAAACUGCAUUGUAGACUCAAAUCCAUAUUCAACGAGUGAAAUCGGCAUCAAUGCAUUUAAUCAGCUGAGAGAGGCGCGAAAGUCCCACGCAGCGGCGUUGCCUCACCGACAAAUUCCUUAAGAAUAAUAGAAAGCAGACUGCGUAAUAGCGGGCAACCAGAUAUUUUUUUGAUAUAUUUUACUCACCAUCUGGCAAUCAAAAUUCCACUCGUGUACCAUAACAUAACCUAUGACGCGUGUGGUGGUCUGCAGUUUGUUUACAAUCAACAAUGAAGCUUUGCACAUCGAAAAAUUGAGAUAUGUUAAUGAUAUGUGAGUGAAAACAGUGAUAACAGUGAAAACAUGCGAAAAUCUACGUUGGAAGUUGUUAUGCAGCGGCAUUUUUUAUUUUCCUCUAACUUAGUUUAUCAGUGAUUAUUGGAUGAAAACCUGUGGAAAUCUACUUUGGAAUUAGACUUUAAUCUGUGUCCUUUUGGAAUGUGUGAAGAGACGGAGGAGGAAUCAUUUUCGGACUAACAACAAGUGUGCACUACACUGAACUGCAGAAGUUGAAGGAUUUGUUAGGACCAUCCGAAGCUCUAGCGAUGAUCAGGCCAAAUAUGCGACCCUGUCCUGCUGUUCCCUGCCAAGGUUGCAUGAAAAAAAUAGGAGUCAACAUGAAAAGAAAGGAACAGAGUAAGUCUUGUAAGGCCAGUGAUGAUGCAAUUUUUCUAAAAAUCACUACCUGAUCCUUGAAUUCUUGGAAUUUGUCUAUUCUUGCACGGAGCGAAGAAUGCCUCAUAGUGUGGAAUAUUUUGGAAGACCAUGUGCAAA
Molecule: non-coding RNA, 1689 nt
Organism: Bemisia tabaci
Lineage: Eukaryota; Metazoa; Arthropoda; Insecta; Hemiptera; Aleyrodidae
Source: RefSeq, a predicted model, not a curated record